UACGUAGGGGGCAAGCGUUGUUCGGAAUUACUGGGCGUAAAGGGCGCGUAGGCGGCCCGGCAAGUCAGGAGUGAAAGCCCUGGGCUCAACCCGGGAACUGCUUUUGAAACUGCCGAGCUAGAGUGCGGAAGGGGCAACUGGAAUUCCCAGUGUAGCGGUGAAAUGCGUAGAUAUUGGGAAGAACACCUGAGGCGAAGGCGGGUUGCUGGGCCGACACUGACGCUGAUGCGCGAAAGCCAGGGGAGCGAACGGG
This 253-nucleotide ribosomal RNA is filed under the name uncultured bacterium. Its description in RNAcentral is "partial 16S ribosomal RNA". It matches the Rfam family "Bacterial small subunit ribosomal RNA", at positions 524 to 776 of the family's 1533-position model. The record is from RNAcentral.